This 459-nucleotide ribosomal RNA is filed under the name uncultured bacterium. RNAcentral describes it as "partial 16S ribosomal RNA". It matches the Rfam family "Bacterial small subunit ribosomal RNA", at positions 338 to 795 of the family's 1533-position model. The record is from RNAcentral.
CCUACGGGUGGCAGCAGUGAGGAAUAUUGGUCAAUGGCCGGAAGGCUGAACCAGCCAAGCCGCGUGAAGGACGAAGGUGCCAAGCAUUGUAAACUUCUUUUGUCAAGGGACAAAAUCAGGCUCGAGUGCCUGACCGAGGGUACUUGAAGAAUAAGCAUCGGCUAACUCCGUGCCAGCAGCCGCGGUAAUACGGAGGAUGCGAGCGUUAUCCGGAUUUAUUGGGUUUAAAGGGUGCGUAGGCGGACUGUUAAGUCAGCGGUAAAAGCCCGGGGCUCAACCCCGGCGAGCCGUUGAAACUGGCUGUCUUGAGAUGGCGAGAGGUAUGCGGAAUGCGCAGUGUAGCGGUGGAAUGCGUAGAUAUUAGGAGGAACACCAGUGGCGAAGGCGGGUUGCUGGACUGUAACUGACACUGAGGCACGAAAGCGUGGGGAGCAAACAGGAUUAGAUACCCGUGUAGUC